Molecule: long non-coding RNA, 1470 nt
Filed under: Gossypium barbadense (sea-island cotton)
Lineage: Eukaryota; Viridiplantae; Streptophyta; Magnoliopsida; Malvales; Malvaceae
Description: long non-coding RNA (GBAR_LNC016952)
Source: RNAcentral
UCCCACGUCUUAAAUCCCCGAGUGAUAUUUUUCUCUUUUUUUUCCAUGCUUCUUCCCCAACUUCAUCUCUUCUACACUUAAUUUAAACCUUUUCUUUUUAAUCACAUUUCCUCCCAACCUGCGUCGCACACCAAAACUCUUUUUCUCUUCAAAAUUGAAAAUUCCUGAUUGCUUAAUCCACUGAAAAAAAGAAGUGAAGCGUUUUUCAGGUCGUCUCACAGGAUCCAAGAUCCGAUAAGUUUUAGUUCGAACCCAAAUUUCAAAUCCCCUUGAUCUGUACAAGUUCUUAUAAUGGGUUUUGGUUUAUAGAUCUAAUCUCCUAAUUCUUAGUUUGUUCGAUACUCUUUUAUCAAAUUGUAAGCCUUUUGCAUUAAUAUGAAUCUGUUAUUUUUCAGUAGUUUCUGUUGAAAUUGCUAUUUUAUGUUAUUCAUUGUUACUUUUUUUUUUAUUGUGUAUAUGGAUGUACUGCUUUUAAAGUUGAUUUCAAUGGAAUUAUUGUAUAAUUGCACUUGUGGGUUUGUUUUUCCUGGGAUUUUAUUAUUUAAAUGUACGUAUCUUAGAUAAUGGCUGAAAGAAUUGCAUACAACUCCGUUUUCAAUAUUUCAUUUCCAUUAUCUUCUAAUAGAACAGGUUUCAUCUUUGUUUCUUUUGAUUGGGUGUCAAAAUAUUGUUCCUUUAUGUUCCUAAAUAUCCUGUCAUUGUUGAAACAGGGGAAGAAACAGAGUUAAAGAAUGAAAUACAAAGAACGGUGAUGAAGAUUCUUGAAGAUGAGGACUGUGUAUUUUGAGAUAAACAAUUAUGCAUAUCAAGGUAUGAAUUAGUCAAUUGAAUUCGAAUAAAAUUCAAGGAUUUAUAAGUUGACAGAUUAAUGUUCAAUUAUAAACCAUCUAAUUCAUCAGUAAAACAACAAAAACAUGUAUAAAAAUGGAACCUAGUCCCUACUCACAAUCAGUGCUACAUAACAGGAUUUCUAUGCUUCAACCAUUACUGCAAUUUCAAUCCUUUUGUAGCUACAAUGACAAUCCCAACAUAUAUAUAGCUCAACUCAAUUGAUGAACCUUUGAUCGAAAAUUGAUCAAAAGAUGCCUUCGAUUGAUUACAAUUUUGCAGUGAAGUCUUCAUCUCUUAAGAACGUACCUUCAAUUUGUAUGUAGGAUCAAAGGCAGUGUUAUGGGCGAAAUAGAAAUCAGGACAUUUAAGGAGCUAGUAAAGAUAAAUAUGACCAACAGUGGUUCGAAUGUAUAUACAAAAUUUUUUUUUUUUAAACUUCUUACUAUUAGAUAAUGUCCAUAAAUCUCAUGAUAGGUACCCAAAGAUUCAUGGUGAACUUCGAUGGGAGCUUCUCUUGAAGCAAUAAUGCAUUGCUCUAGUCGCCACCGGAGCCACAAAGGACUAUCUAAAUUGAUUCUUUUCUGCCUAUAAGCUCCAAUCGCAUCAUAGGAAUUACAAAAAAAAAAGGCUCCCUUGUAG